CUGCUGUACACCAGCUCCAGACCAAACAGGGCGCAGCCUCCUCCUCCGCUCAUGCAGGGAUGUUGGGAGGAUGAAUCUCAUCAGGUGUAGCAGCAUCCAGACACCUCACAGGCAUUCGAUUACAGUAGUAUCUGCCUCGUUCAAUGCCCAGAGGGAUAAAAUAACUAAGGAGAUGCUACCUUUUUUUAAAACACUAUCUCUCUUUUAUUACCUGGGUUAGAGUCUUUGUUCCAAACACAGUCCAAGCUGCCUUUGCAAUCAGCAGUGUAACUGCAUCCUCAUGCACUGCAUCAUUUCCUUUCUUUAUUUCAUAGAGUCUCGCUGCGUUUCUCCCUUCCCGAAAGCGAGAGCCUGCGGGCGUUGGCGGCGCCGCGGUCUGACAGGAGAGCGGGGAGCGGAGCCGUGCCGGGAUUAAGUCACUCUCACAAGGUCACGCGGUGAAUCGCUGCUGCUGCCAAGAAUAGCGCCCCGAGUCUCUUGGCUCUCUCAAGCCCACCCGCAGCACUCCAGCCUCCUUUCCUCGGGUUAUGAAGCUUUCUGCAGCAAGAUUUGAAGCAGCCAAAUUCCAGCUUAGAUUAAAGUCCCUAGGAUUCACUUGUGAUUUCUGGAUGGAGUAUGGCAAGAGCGUUGGUGGGAGCAGACAAUGCUUGUGCUGAUAGCAGAGGUUGAAGUGUUUCCUGUCAUGGAAAAGAUGAACAAGCCAGUUCCGCAUCAGCUUUCUUUUCUGAGACUUAGGAUCAGCAAACGUAUAGGACAGGUACACUUCCUUCUGAGUGACAGCACUUCCCAAAGCCUCGCUCUGCAGCCCCUGGAGCCUGGCCAUGGUGAGGGGUGAGUGCUGCAGAGGCGUCACUGGGGCUGGCCCUUGCUGGGUCACAUGAACUCUGCACUGGGGGAGGAAGGGCCUGAGCUUUUGAUUUCUGAAGGAUAUUGCCCUGAUAAAUAAAGAAAAGAUUUAACUACUGCA
RNAcentral lists this long non-coding RNA (967 nucleotides) under Junco hyemalis (dark-eyed junco). Its description in RNAcentral is "lncRNA (ENSJHYG00000000450.1)". Lineage: Eukaryota; Metazoa; Chordata; Aves; Passeriformes; Passerellidae. The record is from RNAcentral.